AUCUCUUGGUUCUGGCAUCGAUGAAGAACGCAGCGAAAUGCGAUAAGUAAUGUGAAUUGCAGAAUUCAGUGAAUCAUCGAAUCUUUGAACGCACAUUGCGCCCCCUGGCAUUCCGGGGGGCAUGCCUGUUCGAGCGUCAUU
Molecule: ribosomal RNA, 141 nt
Filed under: Umbilicaria pennsylvanica
Lineage: Eukaryota; Fungi; Ascomycota; Lecanoromycetes; Umbilicariales; Umbilicariaceae
Also listed under: 6 other names
Description: 5.8S ribosomal RNA
Rfam family: 5.8S ribosomal RNA
About the family: 5.8S ribosomal RNA (5.8S rRNA) is a component of the large subunit of the eukaryotic ribosome. It is transcribed by RNA polymerase I as part of the 45S precursor that also contains 18S and 28S rRNA. Functionally, it is thought that 5.8S rRNA may be involved in ribosome translocation.
Source: RNAcentral